Rosa chinensis is the source of this 183-nucleotide long non-coding RNA. RefSeq lists it as uncharacterized. NCBI's taxonomy places the organism in Eukaryota, Viridiplantae, Streptophyta, Magnoliopsida, Rosales, Rosaceae. The record is from RefSeq and is a predicted model, not a curated record. The transcript is spliced from 3 exons.
GGCAGAGUAUCAGAUCACUCCUUUGGUGGCUAGAGAAGACAUAUAAAGUGUGGUUGGUGUAGUGCUGUGGGCUGCCAAAACAAGAAAACAUGUGGCUAGAGAAGACAUAUAAAGUGUGGUUGGUGUAGUGCUGUGGGCUGCCAAAACAAGAAAACAUGUACAAAGUAAAACUGGCAGUAGCAC